GCACUGUCAAUAAUUUGCUCAUCUUUGCAUUCAGUUUAGUGCCGGGACAUUCAAAUAGGAAUUCCUUAUAAUAAUCCUAUAGAGUAUAGGAAUUCCUUUAGGAUUGUAUAUGAAUUCGUUUAGGAGUGUAUAGAAAUUCCUUUAGAAUCAAAAAGGAAUUCCUAUACAAUCCUAAAGGAAUCCCUAUAGAAUCCUAAAGGAAUUCCUAUAGAAUCCUAAAGAAUUUUUU
This is a non-coding RNA of Paramuricea clavata, 229 nucleotides long. The record is from the annotation of a GenBank genome assembly. Lineage: Eukaryota; Metazoa; Cnidaria; Anthozoa; Malacalcyonacea; Plexauridae.